GUGUGCCCGAGAAUAAAGGGACUAUUUUGAUAGAAUAGGCACAGAGACCAAACUCUCACUUCCA
RNAcentral lists this transfer RNA (64 nucleotides) under Trapelus savignii. RNAcentral's name for it is "tRNA-Ile". The record is from RNAcentral. Lineage: Eukaryota; Metazoa; Chordata; Lepidosauria; Squamata; Agamidae.